Molecule: ribosomal RNA, 524 nt
Filed under: uncultured bacterium
Lineage: Bacteria
Description: partial 16S ribosomal RNA
Rfam family: Bacterial small subunit ribosomal RNA
Source: RNAcentral
GACGAACGCUGGCGGCGUGCCUAAUACAUGCAAGUCGAGCGCAGGAAACUGACGGAACUCUUCGGAGGGAAGGCAGUGGAAUGAGCGGCGGACGGGUGAGUAACACGUAAGGAACCUGCCUCAAGGAUUGGGAUAACUCCGAGAAAUCGGAGCUAAUACCGGAUAGUUCAACGGACCGCAUGGUCCGCUGAUGAAAGGCGCUCCGGCGUCACCUUGAGAUGGCCUUGCGGUGCAUUAGCUAGUUGGUGGGGUAAUGGCCCACCAAGGCGACGAUGCAUAGCCGACCUGAGAGGGGGAUCGGCCACACUGGGACUGAGACACGGCCCAGACUCCUACGGGAGGCAGCAGUAGGGAAUCUUCCACAAUGGACGAAAGUCUGAUGGAGCAACGCCGCGUGAGGGAUGAAGGUUUUCGGAUCGUAAAACUCUGUUGUAAGGGAAGAACACGUACGAGAGGGAAUGCUCGUACCUUGACGGUACCUUACGAGAAAGCCACGGCUAACUACGUGCCAGCAGCCGCGGUAA